AUGGCUAGCUUUCAGGUGGCCGACGCGUCGGAGUACCUGGCCAUCACCGGCUGGGGCAUCGACGACGUCAAGCUCGCCAAGAAGGCGUGGGUUUUUGUGGGGCAGCAGUGCAAGAAGUUCAGCAUCUCGCCGGUGAACUAUGAGUUCGAGGUGCACGCCAUGAGCGCCGAGAAGCUGCCCUUCAUACUCCCCGCCGUCUUCACCAUCGGCCCCAAGAUCACAGCCGCCGGGGGCGAGGAGUCGGACAGGAAGGACCUUCAGGCGCAGCUCCUCCUGUACUCCAAGCUCAUCGCGCCGCUGCACAGCUCGAGGAGCCACGUCCAGGAGCUCGUCAAGGGGAUCAUCGAGGGCGAGACCCGCGUGCUCGCCGCGGAGCUCACCAUGGAGGAGAUCUUCAAGGGUACCAAGACGUUCAAGGAGAAGGUGUUCAACCGGGUGCAGCUCGAGCUCAAUCAGUUCGGCCUGAUCAUCUACAACGCCAACGUGAAGCAGCUGGUGGACGUGCCGGGGCACGAGUACUUCUCCUACCUCGGCCAGAAGACGCAGCAGGACGCGGCGAACCAGGCCAAGGUGGACGUGGCGGAGGCCCGGAUGAAGGGAGAGGUGGGAGCCAAGGAGAGGGAGGGGCUGACGCGGCAGAACGCGGCAAAGGUGGACGCGGAGACCAAGGUGCUGUCGGUGCGGCAGCAGGGCCAAGGGCUCAAGGAGGAGGCCAAGGUGAAGGCCGAGGUGCAGGUGUUCGAGAAUGAAAGGGCGGCGGAGAUCGCCGCGGCCAAGGCCGAGCUUGCCAUGAAGAAGGCCGGGUGGGACAAGCAGGCCGAGGUCGAGGCGGCCAAGGCCGUCGCCAUCCGCGAGGCCGAGCUCCAGAUGGAGGUUGAGCGCAAGAACGCCAUGCGCCAGACCGAGAAGCUCAAGGCCGAGCAGCUCAGCAAGGCAACCGUGCACUACGAUACACAGGUUCAAGAAUCAAAUGCACAACUCUAUAGCAGGCAGAACAGAAGGCGGCGGAGGCAAAGCUGUUUGAGCAGAUGA
RNAcentral lists this ribosomal RNA (1032 nucleotides) under Triticum aestivum (bread wheat). RNAcentral describes it as "partial small subunit ribosomal RNA". Lineage: Eukaryota; Viridiplantae; Streptophyta; Magnoliopsida; Poales; Poaceae. The record is from RNAcentral.